RNAcentral lists this long non-coding RNA (1850 nucleotides) under Marmota monax (woodchuck). The stretch from base 814 to 882 matches the Rfam family "tRNA". Lineage: Eukaryota; Metazoa; Chordata; Mammalia; Rodentia; Sciuridae. The record is from RNAcentral.
AUUCACCAGGCUGUGCCACCCCCAGCACUGUGUAGUUGAAGAUGGAGACCCCUUAGAGCACAUGGGUCCUAUGGGGGAGGACACACACAGGCCAUCUUAGAGGAGGUGAGAUAGAGUCUGCUGUGCAUGGAGCAGAGAUGACUGCCUAAAGGGUAGUGAGGAUUUCAGGGUAUUAUAUCUCUUACUGUGAUCUGUGAUGUUAACUAUAUUUAAUGUCAUGUGAUACUACAAACCCUGUUCAUAUAAGACAGCAAAUUUAAUAUGUGUGUUCUUAUUGCUCCACAGAUCAUGUCUCGCCAUCCUCUUAUUCCCUAAGAUACAAUAUUGAAGUCAGACCAGUUAAUAACUCUGUAAUGGGCUGGACUGUCAAAAUAAAAGGAAGAGUCCCAUGUUUUGCGAUCUAAAUAGAAGGCUGUGCCUUAGGCUGGGGCUGUAGCUCAGUGGCAGAAUGCUUGCCUAGCAUGUGUGAGGCACUGAAUUCAAUCCUUAGCACUGAAAAAAAAAAAAAAACUAAACAAAUAAAGGCAUGCUGUCCAACUACAACUAUUAAAAAAAAAAGCUGUGCCUCUCUAGUCCCAGUGAGAAUGCAAAGGAAAUGUUCUUGAAUAAAAUUAAAGUGCUGUUCCAGGGCAUAUGUGAAUGAUAAGAAAGCAAAAUAGCUGAUAAGUAUAAAGUUUUUCAUAGUCUGGAGAACAGAUGAAACAAGCCAUGUUCCUUAAGCCAAAGCCAAAUCCCAGAUAAGGCCAUAACAUUAGAUUGUUCUAAUGCCAAGAGAAGUGAGAAAACUCCAGAAGAAGUUUGAAGGUGCGGGCUGGGGCUGUAGCUCAUUGGUAGAGUGCUCGCCUCACACGUGUGAGGCACUGGGUUCGAUCCUCAGCACCACAUAAAAAUAAAAAUGAUGUGUCCACCUAAAACUAAAAAAUAAACUUAAAAAAAAAGGAAAAAAAAAAGAAAAAGAAGAAGAAGAAGAAGUAGUUUGAAGGUUUAAGGCAAGAGGCCCAUCUCCAUAUAAGACAAGUGCAAGGUGAAGCAGCAAGUGCUGAUGUAGAAGCUGUAGCAAGUCAUGAAGAAGAUCUUGCUAAGCUAUCUGAUGAAGACGUGAUACGGUUGAGUUUCUAGGUGUCCUCCAAAAGCUCAUGGGCGAGACAAUGCAAGAAGGUUUAGAGGGGAAAUGGCCCUGUUAAGAGAGCCUUAACCCAAUCAGUGAAUUAAUCCCCCCCAGCAGGAUGAACAGGUGGCAAACAUAAAAGGGGAUGCCCACACCCUCUCCAAGCCUGGAGGUGUAGGCCGCACCUGUGGAGGAGUUCAGUGGCUGUGAAAGAUGUCCAGUGGCAGGGUCAGAAGCCAACAGUAGCCAUCCUCAACGUUCCACAUUAGGGUUCCACAUUGGAGGUUCCCAGCAAGCAGGGGCUGUGUCAGGAUCCGAGAGCAGGGACAUCCAUCUGUGGGCAGGGCAUUCAUCAGCCCUAAGGCAGUUUGGGGAGUCCAGUUGUACCGGUAGCUGCAUGGAAAUUGGCCUAAAAGGCUGGGAGGACAGCCACAGGCAGCAGCGAUGGGCAGUCCAGCCUUGGCGUUGGGCACCUGUGGAGGCACCCGUGUCCGGAGUUCGGUUAUGGCAGCGGUGGCAAAGGCAACUUAGGAGUCUGGAGGCGACAGUGGUAGGCAAGGCGUCCAGAUAGGAGCAUCCUCAUCCAUUGGCGGUGGCGGGAGUCUGGCUCCAGUGCAGAGGCGGUAGUGGUGACAUUGCUGGUGGCCAGGUUGGGACUACAGUGGCCACAGCGUGGAGCUCUGGCUGCGGCGACAGCGACAGCGUGGGGCAGCGAGCCUCAGAGUCAGAGGGCGACUGGAGG